CCUACGGGAGGCAGCAGUGGGGAAUAUUGCGCAAUGGGCGAAAGCCUGACGCAGCGACGCCGCGUGAGGGAUGAAGGUCUUCGGAUCGUAAACCUCUGUCAGCAGGGAAGAACGGUCACUGGGCUAAUCAGCAGUGAAUGGACGGUACCGGCAAAGGAAGCACGGGCUACCUCCGUGCCAGCAGCCGCGGUAAGACGGAGGGUGCGAGCGUUAAUCGGAAUUACUGGGCGGAAAGCGCUCGUAGGCGGUAUGUCAAGUCAAGGGUGAAAUCCCCGCGCGCAACGUGGGAACUGCCUUUGAAACUGGCAACCUGGAGUGUGUGCUAGGCUAGUUGCCUUCCCGGUGU
This 346-nucleotide ribosomal RNA is filed under the name uncultured bacterium. RNAcentral describes it as "partial 16S ribosomal RNA". It matches the Rfam family "Bacterial small subunit ribosomal RNA", at positions 338 to 676 of the family's 1533-position model. The record is from RNAcentral.